GGGGCUGAUUUGGUUUCGACGGGAAUAAUAGAGCAUAGAUGGCAAGUCGAAUGUCCACGUCACGGGCACAAAAAAAUAAAUGCUAAAAAAUUAAGUAACGUUGUAGCUAAUAUGUUUGGUGCAAAUCAAGCAGUAGCUUUUGCCUAAUAAUAAUAUAAAGGCCAACACUUCUUAUAAUCUUACCUAGUGGUUAUUAAGAGGUUCAUUUUAUAGGUUAUAGCUAUUUAUUGUCUAGUAAAUAGAAAGAAUCUUCAGACUAGUAUAUUUUCUUGGUCGUUAAUUACUUGGAAAGUAUAUGAUAAUAAUUAGUUAACUAAACUUGUAGAGGUUUAUGUAGCUUUAUUUUCGGACAGGAGUUCAAUUCUCCUCAGCUCCACCA
This 379-nucleotide transfer-messenger RNA is filed under the name bovine gut metagenome. It matches the Rfam family "transfer-messenger RNA". From Rfam's summary of the family: Bacterial tmRNA, also known as 10Sa RNA or SsrA, is named for its dual tRNA and mRNA-like properties. Its role is to liberate the mRNA from a stalled ribosome. To accomplish this part of the tmRNA is used as a reading frame that ends in a translation stop signal. The record is from RNAcentral.